AGUGAACGCUGGCGGUAGGCCUAACACAUGCAAGUCGAACGGCAGCACAGUAAGAGCUUGCUCUUACGGGUGGCGAGUGGCGGACGGGUGAGGAAUACAUCGGAAUCUACUUUUUCGUGGGGGAUAACGUAGGGAAACUUACGCUAAUACCGCAUACGACCUACGGGUGAAAGCAGGGGAUCUUCGGACCUUGCGCGAUUGAAUGAGCCGAUGUCGGAUUAGCUAGUUGGCGGGGUAAAGGCCCACCAAGGCGACGAUCCGUAGCUGGUCUGAGAGGAUGAUCAGCCACACUGGAACUGGGACACGGUCCAGACUCCUACGGGAGGCAGCAGUGGGGAAUAUUGGACAAUGGGCGCAAGCCUGAUCCAGCCAUACCGCGUGGGUGAAGAAGGCCUUCGGGUUGUAAAGCCCUUUUGUUGGGAAAGAAAAGCAGCAGGUUAAUACCCCGCUGUUCUGACGGUACCCAAGGAAUAAGCACCGGCUAACUUCGUG
Molecule: ribosomal RNA, 492 nt
Filed under: uncultured bacterium
Lineage: Bacteria
Description: partial 16S ribosomal RNA
Rfam family: Bacterial small subunit ribosomal RNA
Source: RNAcentral